UACGAAGGGGGCUAGCGUUGCUCGGAAUCACUGGGCGUAAAGGGUGCGUAGGCGGGUCUUUAAGUCAGGGGUGAAAUCCUGGAGCUCAACUCCAGAACUGCCUUUGAUACUGAGGAUCUUGAGUUCGGGAGAGGUGAGUGGAACUGCGAGUGUAGAGGUGAAAUUCGUAGAUAUUCGCAAGAACACCAGUGGCGAAGGCGGCUCACUGGCCCGAUGCUGACGCUGAGGUGCGAAAGCGUGGGGAGCAAAACGG
This 253-nucleotide ribosomal RNA is filed under the name uncultured bacterium. Its description in RNAcentral is "partial 16S ribosomal RNA". It matches the Rfam family "Bacterial small subunit ribosomal RNA", at positions 524 to 776 of the family's 1533-position model. The record is from RNAcentral.